Molecule: long non-coding RNA, 1729 nt
Organism: Papaver somniferum (opium poppy)
Lineage: Eukaryota; Viridiplantae; Streptophyta; Magnoliopsida; Ranunculales; Papaveraceae
Exons: 7
Source: RefSeq, a predicted model, not a curated record
UAUCAUUUCCGAUCCAGAACCAAUGAAUAUCCAAGCUAGUAUGGGAAAUGACGAUGAUGCUAUUGCAACACCGAUCCAGUCUGCCAGGGACUGGUUUGAAGUCUAGCUAAGGGUCAAAUAUCUCGGGAGAUUGAAACUCAACCUGUUCAAAAUCUCUAUGCUAUUCAUGUCCUUAAUGGCUUGAUUUAGUGCAAUUUCAGAGUACCCGAAAGCUUAUCUGAUAGAGAUGGGAGGUGUGGCGUGUAGGAGCCAUUGCAACUCUGAUUGACACUGUUGGUGCUUGUGCUGCACAUAUUACACACACGGAAAUAUCAAUGUUUCUGUUAAUUUCAACAUUUCUUACUUCUCCACUGCAAAAGUUCAGGAUGAAGUAGAGAUUUGAGGCUAAAGUGAUGGGGAAUAAGGGAAAUCUUUCUUCAGUGAUGGUGCGGAACUGCGGAUUUAAAAGAAACAAAAUGUUGAUUUGGUUGCUAUAGCAGUGGAGCUCACUAGCAGAAGUUGCAGACAUGGGUGAUGCAGAUGCACAGUAUGAGUUGGGUUGCGGUUUGAGAAUUGAGGUACUGGGGACUGUGUGAAGCGAGAUAUGGAAUCAACCUUGUGGUGUCUCCAUCAAGCUUUUCAGAGAAGGGGCAAGCUGGUGCACCCAUAGCAUAUGGAUCACUUAUGUUAAAAUGGGGCUUCUGGAGGAGGAUUCACUAUGAAAGAGGUCUAUCGCAAAUACUACCUUCCACAAGUAAUUGCUAAAGGGAAGGAUGUGAAAUUUUGGAAAGACAAAUGGAGGGGGGCUGUUCCUUUCUGUUUGACCUAGAAGAAGACCUUUUAAGCAGCUAUUUAAAAGGAUGGAAAAAAUGGCUGAUCUUAUUUAUCAGGGGAAGUGGAAUAUUCAGUUCAAGAGACAGCCAUCUGAUGAGGUAAUUGGUGAGUUCUCAAAUCUCUCAACUCUUCUGGAAUCUGGGUGAUGCUUCACUUUGCGCAAUGAAGCAGACUCCAUUUCCUGUAGCUCGAACUCAGAUUAUACAGUUGAAGAUGAAUACUCUUGGCUCUUGAAUCAGAAUGAGGGUGUCUCUCAACCUUUCAAGUAUUGAAGUAUAUGUGGAAGACGCAUAUUCCCAACAAGGUUCAAUUAUAUGUCUGAUAAGUGAUUCAAAAACCUUUCAAGUUUUUGCAACAAUAUGGAGGAUAAUUGGGAUCAUAUUUUACUCCGCCGCACAUUCUCAAGGCAGAUUUGGGAUUAAUUUAGUCCAGCAAUGCAACAUUCUUGGUCUCAGAAGACUUCGGUAAAGGAGCAAUUUGAGUUUUGGUCUGACCUUAAUGGGAAAAAGCUAGCUAGAAAGGUGUUGAAGUUGCUUCCCUUUGCAACUGUGUGGCCUCUGUGGUCUGAAAGGAACAAGAUAGUGAGGGCCAACAAGAGAAGUAGAGAGGCCAAAACAAUCAUCAGUGAAGUGAAGUGAAGAGAUUGAUUUUUCAGUGGGGAUCAAUUUAUGCCUGGUUUCACUUCUUGUCCUUUAGAGACUUCUUAAUAAAUUGGGAGGCUGUAAUGGUUACGGGCACCGUAUAGAGUUGGUGAAAGAACAACUUGAAAUUGCAUCUAAAGCAGGAACCGAUCUUGGGCUUAAAUGUUUGAAAAUACUUGAAGAUGCAUCUGAAUAACAAUGUACAUUAAAACACAGUAUAGACUGAUUCACUUGGAUUUCUAGAUGGCAUCAUAAUUUGGAAAAGCUGAGAUGGA